AACCAUUCUCACCUGCGGCUAGACCUGCGGAGGGAUCAUUACCUUGCCGAACCGGGCCACCUGGGGGGCCAUCCAACGCCCCCCUGGAGCCCAUUUGCACAUCAAGGAGAGGGCAGAGAGCCGUAGGGGGGGCCCCCCUACCCCUCCACCCUUUCCCCUCUGCAACAAAGAGGAAUCUAGUGAUUUGGAGGGGGGGGGAGAGAGGCCCUACUACGACCCCUAGGUCGUAAGGGCCCUCUC
Molecule: unclassified non-coding RNA, 240 nt
Filed under: soil metagenome
Description: partial contains 5.8S ribosomal RNA, internal transcribed spacer 2, and large subunit ribosomal RNA
Source: RNAcentral